CUGGGCCUUGCGGCGAUCGAGCGCUGCAGGAAAAGGCAAGCCUCCCGCCUCACCUGGCUGCGUGCGGGAGACGCCCCCACCAAAUUCUUCAUGGCCAAGAUCAGCUCAAGAAGGCGCAAGAACUUCAUCAGUGCCCUAAAAGUGGGAGACAACAUUGUGACUGCACACGUCGAGAAGGAAAAGGCAAUACAUGAUCAUUUCAACUGCAUCCUAGGAUCCACCCAACACCGAACCACGUCGAUCAACUGGGAUGAGCUGUGUAUGCCUUCUGUGCAAGCAAAUGGCCUGGACAACCCGUUCUCCGAGGAAGAGGUGUGGGCGGCGAUAAAGGAUUCACCAGCGGAGAAAUCACCAGGGCCGGAUGGGUUUUGCGGCGUCUUCUUUCGGAGUUGUUGGGGCAUAAUAAAGACAAAUAUCAUGCAGGCGUUCCAGCAGUUCUACCACCUGGCCGGGCAAAAUUUUGGGGCUCUGAACUCUGCGAUCAUCGCACUCAUCCCCAAGAAGGACGGAGCGGAGUCCAUUGCUGAUUACAGACCGAUUAGUAUGAUACAUUCAAUUGCGAAGCUGUUCUCCAAGGUUCUAUCAAUCCGACUUGCUUCGGUGGUGCAGUUGAUCAUCUCGCCCGCCCAGACGGCUUUUCUGAAGACCAGAUGCUUGCACGACAGCUUUGUCUACGUCCAAAAUUAUGUCAAGAGCCUGCACCACAGGAAAACACCGGCAGUUCUUCUUAAGCUAGACAUCUCGAGAGCUUUCGACAAUGUUUCAUGGGAAUAUCUCCUGGAGCUGCUCGAAAGGCUAGGAUUUACUGCUCGCUAG
RNAcentral lists this ribosomal RNA (816 nucleotides) under Triticum aestivum (bread wheat). RNAcentral's name for it is "partial small subunit ribosomal RNA". The record is from RNAcentral. Lineage: Eukaryota; Viridiplantae; Streptophyta; Magnoliopsida; Poales; Poaceae.